Molecule: ribosomal RNA, 442 nt
Filed under: uncultured bacterium
Lineage: Bacteria
Description: partial 16S ribosomal RNA
Rfam family: Bacterial small subunit ribosomal RNA
Source: RNAcentral
CCUACGGGAGGCAGCAGUAGGGAAUCUUUCACAAUGGGCGAAAGCCUGAUGGAGCAACGCCGCGUGCAGGAUGAAGGCCUUCGGGUUGUAAACUGCUUUUAUAAGCGAGAAAUAUGAUGGUAACUUAUGAAUAAGGAUCGGCUAACUACGUGCCAGCAGCCGCGGUCAUACGUAGGAUCCGAGCAUUAUCCGGAGUGACUGGGUGUAAAGAGUUGCGUAGGUGGCAUAAUAAGUAGCUAGUGAAAUCUGGUGGCUCAACCAUUCAGACUAUUAGCUAAACUGUUAAGCUCGAGACCGUUAGGGGUAACUGGAAUUUCUAGUGUAGUGGUGAAAUCCGUAGAUAUUAGCAGGAACACCAAUAGCGUAGGCAGGUUGCUGGGACGGUUCUGACACUAAGGCACGAAAGCGUAGGGAGCAAACGGGAUUAGAUACCCGAGUAGUC